CCUACGGGAGGCAGCAGUAGGGAAUCUUUCACAAUGGACGAAAGCCUGAUGGAGCAACGCCGCGUGCAGGAUGAAGGCCUUCGGGUUGUAAACUGCUUUUAUAAGCGAGAAAUAUGAUGGUAACUUAUGAAUAAGUCUCGUCUAACUACUUGCCAGCAGCCGCGGUCAUACGUAGGAUCCGAGCAUUAUCCGGAGUAACUGGGUGUAAAGAGUUGCGUAGGUGGGAUAUUAAGUAGCUAGUGAAAUCUGGUGGCUCAACCAUUCAGACUAUUAGCUAAACUGUUAAGCUCGAGACCGUUAGAGGUAACUGGAAUUUCUAGGGUAGGAGUGAAAUCAGUAGAUAUUAGAAGGAACACCAAUAGAGUAGGCAGGUUACUGGGACGGUUCUGACACUAAGGCACGAAAGCGUAGGGAGCAAACGGGAUUAGAUACCCAUGUAGUC
This 442-nucleotide ribosomal RNA is filed under the name uncultured bacterium. RNAcentral describes it as "partial 16S ribosomal RNA". It matches the Rfam family "Bacterial small subunit ribosomal RNA", at positions 338 to 795 of the family's 1533-position model. The record is from RNAcentral.